Molecule: long non-coding RNA, 345 nt
Organism: Trichomycterus rosablanca
Lineage: Eukaryota; Metazoa; Chordata; Actinopteri; Siluriformes; Trichomycteridae
Exons: 3
Source: RefSeq, a predicted model, not a curated record
AUGGAAAAGACAUUUGCAUACAGGAGACAUGAAGUGGUUCGUGAUACACCAAUGAUACAAGACUUUCAGGCAAGAUGGCCAGCACUCUUUGACGUAAGCGAGAUAAAUGCUGAAUUUAAGCGGAUUACCACCAUGCCCCUUCAGUCCAGAUUUCUCUCUCAGUUAGAUGUGCACUCUGAGAAACUGAUGGUUCUGUUUAAAAAAAGAGGAGGACAAAUAGGCAAACACCUAGAGAGCAUCAUAGCACCCAUGGCUCAAAAUGAUGAUGUUGAUUUAGGACGAGAAUGUAUCAUCAAGGCAAUUUGUGUGUACCUCAACGAGGAUCCAGAAAACCUCUUUAGAGAG